RNAcentral lists this ribosomal RNA (332 nucleotides) under uncultured Methylophilus sp. Its description in RNAcentral is "bacterial SSU rRNA". It matches the Rfam family "Bacterial small subunit ribosomal RNA", at positions 568 to 898 of the family's 1533-position model. Lineage: Bacteria; Pseudomonadati; Pseudomonadota; Betaproteobacteria; Nitrosomonadales; Methylophilaceae. The record is from RNAcentral.
UGCGCAGGCUGUUUUGUAAGUCAGAUGUGAAAUCCCCGAGCUCAACUUGGGAACUGCGUUUGAAACUACAAGACUAGAAUAUGUCAGAGGGGGGUAGAAUUCCACGUGUAGCAGUGAAAUGCGUAGAGAUGUGGAGGAAUACCAAUGGCGAAGGCAGCCCCCUGGGAUAAUAUUGACGCUCAUGCACGAAAGCGUGGGGAGCAAACAGGAUUAGAUACCCUGGUAGUCCACGCCCUAAACGAUGUCUACUAGUUGUUGGUGGAGUAAAAUCCAUGAGUAACGCAGCUAACGCGUGAAGUAGACCGCCUGGGGAGUACGGUCGCAAGAUUAAA